This 854-nucleotide ribosomal RNA is filed under the name human gut metagenome. Its description in RNAcentral is "bacterial SSU rRNA". It matches the Rfam family "Bacterial small subunit ribosomal RNA", at positions 660 to 1520 of the family's 1533-position model. The record is from RNAcentral.
AGCGGAAUUCCUAGUGUAGCGGUGAAAUGCGUAGAUAUUAGGAGGAACACCAGUGGCGAAGGCGGCUUGCUGGGCUUUUACUGACGCUGAGGCUCGAAAGCGUGGGGAGCAAACAGGAUUAGAUACCCUGGUAGUCCACGCCGUAAACGAUGAUUACUAGGUGUGGGGGGAUUGACCCCUUCCGUGCCGGAGUAAACACAAUAAGUAAUCCACCUGGGGAGUACGACCGCAAGGUUGAAACUCAAAGGAAUUGACGGGGGCCCGCACAAGCAGUGGAGUAUGUGGUUUAAUUCGACGCAACGCGAAGAACCUUACCAGGUCUUGACAUCAAGUGACCGCCUAAGAGAUUAGGCUUUCCCUUCGGGGACACAAAGACAGGUGGUGCAUGGUUGUCGUCAGCUCGUGUCGUGAGAUGUUGGGUUAAGUCCCGCAACGAGCGCAACCCUUAUCAUUAGUUGCUACGCAAGAGCACUCUAAUGAGACUGCCGUUGACAAAACGGAGGAAGGUGGGGAUGACGUCAAAUCAUCAUGCCCUUUAUGACCUGGGCUACACACGUACUACAAUGGCGUUUAACAAAGAGAAGCAAAGCCGCGAGGCAGAGCAAAUCUCCAAAAAACGUCUCAGUUCGGAUUGUAGGCUGCAACUCGCCUACAUGAAGUCGGAAUUGCUAGUAAUCGUAGGUCAGCAUACUACGGUGAAUACGUUCCCGGGCCUUGUACACACCGCCCGUCAAACCAUGAGAGUUGGCAACACCCGAAGUCGGUAGUCUAACCGCAAGGAGGACGCCGCCGAAGGUGGGGUUGAUGAUUAGGGUUAAGUCGUAACAAGGUAGCCGUAUCGGAAGGUGCGGCUG